GAGUACGGCCGCAAGGCUGAAACUUAAAGGAAUUGGCGGGGGAGCACUACAACGGGUGGAGCCUGCGGUUUAAUUGGACUCAACGCCGGAAAACUCACCGGGGGCGACAGCAAUAUGUAGGUCAGGUUAAAGGUCUUACCUGAAUCGCUGAGAGGAGGUGCAUGGCCGUCGUCAGUUCGUACUGUGAAGCAUCCUGUUAAGUCAGGCAACGAGCAAGACCCGUGCCCACUGUUACCAGCAUAUCCUUUAUGGAUGAUGGGGACUCUGUGGGGACCGCUGCUGCUAAAGCAGAGGAAGGUGCGGGCUACGGUAGGUCAGUAUGCCCCGAAUCUCCCGGGCUACACGCGGGCUACAAUGGUUGGGACAAUGGGUAUCUACUCCGAAAGGAGUUGGCAAUCUCUUAAACCCAAUCGUAGUUCGAAUUGAGGGCUGUAACUCGCCCUCAUGAAGCUGGAAUCCGUAGUAAUCGCGUUUCAACAUAGCGCGGUGAAUCUGUCCCUGCUCCUUGCACACACCGCCCGUCAAACCAUCCGAGUGAGGUAUGGGUGAGGGCACGAACUUAGUGUCGUGCUCGAACCUAAAUUUCGCAAGGAGGGUUAAGUCGUAACAAGGUAACCGUAGGGGAAUCUGCGGCUGGAUCACCUCCU
RNAcentral lists this ribosomal RNA (647 nucleotides) under uncultured archaeon. Its description in RNAcentral is "bacterial SSU rRNA". It matches the Rfam family "Archaeal small subunit ribosomal RNA", at positions 833 to 1478 of the family's 1478-position model. The record is from RNAcentral.